AUGGCUCCCGAGGCCACAUCUUGGCUGUCUUGGCGUCUCUCUGCAUCCUCAGCCUUCUCUGAUCAUGUGGAGCCCCCAGUGGCCCCCAUGGGUGCUUAUCUGAUGCUGUGCCAGCCACAGGCAAGAUGUGGGGACACGUUCUGUGACCCUCUGCAGCACUGCUACUAUGACAAUGCCAUCCUGCCCUCGGAUGGGACCCAGAGGGGUGGAACUGCACCUUCAGAGUCUGCUUCGAGAAGUGCUGCCCCUGGUCCCUCAUGGUGAAGAUGAAAGGCCAGAAGUGCUCCUUGACCCUGACCUCAGAUAACAGGCUUUGUCACAGGUGAGGUCCUGUCUCCUCCAUGAGAUUGUGGGUCCUGG
RNAcentral lists this long non-coding RNA (360 nucleotides) under Homo sapiens (human). Its description in RNAcentral is "non-protein coding lnc-IGFL2-1:3". The record is from RNAcentral. Lineage: Eukaryota; Metazoa; Chordata; Mammalia; Primates; Hominidae.